GAUGAACGCUGGCGGUAUGCUUAACACAUGCAAGUCGAACGGUCACUUCGGUGAUAGUGGCGGACGGGUGAGUAACGCGUGAGAAUCUGUCUUCAGGUCGGGGACAACAGUUAGAAAUGACUGCUAAUACCGGAUGUGCCUUUGGGUGAAAGAUUUAUUGCCUGAAAAAGAGCUCGCGUCAGAUUAGCUAGUAGGUGGUGUAAGAGACUACCUAGGCUCCGAUCUGUAGCUGGUCUGAGAGGACGAUCAGCCACACUGGUACUGAGACACGGUCCAGACUCCUACGGGAGGCAGCAGUGGGGAAUUUUCCGCAAUGGGCGAAAGCCUGACGGAGCAAUACCGCGUGAGGGACGAAGGCUUUUGGGUCGUAAACCUCUUUUCUCAAGGAAGAUGAUGACGGUACUUGAGGAAUAAGCAUCGGCUAACUCUGUG
Molecule: ribosomal RNA, 432 nt
Filed under: uncultured bacterium
Lineage: Bacteria
Description: partial 16S ribosomal RNA
Rfam family: Bacterial small subunit ribosomal RNA
Source: RNAcentral